Molecule: non-coding RNA, 22 nt
Filed under: Mus musculus (house mouse)
Lineage: Eukaryota; Metazoa; Chordata; Mammalia; Rodentia; Muridae
Source: RNAcentral
UAGAGCCUUGUAGUGACCACGG